RNAcentral lists this unclassified non-coding RNA (404 nucleotides) under soil metagenome. RNAcentral's name for it is "partial contains 5.8S ribosomal RNA, internal transcribed spacer 2, and large subunit ribosomal RNA". The stretch from base 1 to 121 matches the Rfam family "5.8S ribosomal RNA", at positions 35 to 154 of the family's 154-position model. The record is from RNAcentral.
GAUGAAGAACGCAGCGAAAUGCGAUAAGUAAUGUGAAUUGCAGAAUUCAGUGAAUCAUCGAAUCUUUGAACGCACCUUGCGCCCUUUGGCCAUUCCGAAGGGCAUGCCUGUUUGAGUAUCAUGAACACCUCAACUCUUCAUGGAUUUCCAUGAUGAGCUUGGACUUUGGGGGUCUUGCCGGCCUGUGGUCGGCUCCUCUCAAAUGAAUCAGCUUACCGGUUUUGGUGGGCAUCACAGGUGUGAUAACUAUCUACGCUUGUGGUUUUCCACCAGGGUAACCUUCAGCAGUGGAGGUUCACUGGAGCUUACAAAUGUCUCUCCUCCGUGAGGACAGCCCUUUGAAUGUUUGAUCUCAAAUCAGGUAGGACUACCCGCUGAACUUAAGCAUAUCAAUAAGCGGAGGA